AUCCAUCCGACGAGUCCCAAAUAGGACGCGUCCUGGAU
Trichobilharzia regenti is the source of this 38-nucleotide non-coding RNA. The record is from Rfam. NCBI's taxonomy places the organism in Eukaryota, Metazoa, Platyhelminthes, Trematoda, Strigeidida, Schistosomatidae.